GACGAACGCUGGCGGCGUGCCUAAUACAUGCAAGUCGAACGCUUCUUUCCUCCCGAGUGCUUGCACUCAAAUGGAAAGAGGAGUGGCGGACGGGUGAGUAACACGUGUGUAACCUACCCAUCAGAGGGGGAUAACACUUGGAAAAAGGUGCUAAUACCGCAUAACAGUUUAUGCCGCAUGGCAUAAGAGUGAAAGGCGCUUUCGGGUGUCGUUGAUGGAUGGACCCGCGGUGCAUUAGCUAGUUGGUGAGGUAACGGCUCACCAAGGCCACGAUGCAUAGCCGACCUGAGAGGGUGAUCGGCCACACUGUGACUGAGACACGGCCCAGACUCCUACGGGAGGCAGCAGUAGGGAAUCUUCGGCAAUGGACGAAAGUCUGACCGAGCAACGCCGCGUGAGUGAAGAAGGUUUUCGGAUCGUAAAACUCUGUUGUUAGAGAAGAACAAGGACGUUAGUAACUGAACGUCCCCUGACGGUAUCUAACCAGAAAGCCACGGCUAACUACGUG
Molecule: ribosomal RNA, 508 nt
Filed under: uncultured bacterium
Lineage: Bacteria
Description: partial 16S ribosomal RNA
Rfam family: Bacterial small subunit ribosomal RNA
Source: RNAcentral